GGGAGAGAGAGGCCGGUCCUGGUCUGGCCGCUGCGGCUGCUAGCCCGAGGUCUCCAAGCCGGGCUGCGGCUCCAUCCUCGGCUCCUGGGCACCGUCUGCGAGGCUCCGCCGACCAGAGUGAGAAAGCCGCGGGCGGCGACCGCCGCAUCAUGUCAGCCAAGGACGAGCGGGCCAGGGAGAUCCUGAGGGGCUUCAAACUAAAUUGGAUGAACCUUCGGGAUGCUGAGACAGGGAAGAUACUCUGGCAAGGAACAGAAGACCUGUCUGUCCCUGGUGUGGAGCAUGAAGCCCGUGUUCCCAAGAAAAUCCUCAAGUGCAAGGCAGUAUCUCGAGAACUUAAUUUUUCUUCGACAGAACAAAUGGAAAAAUUCCGCCUGGAACAAAAAGUUUACUUCAAAGGGCAAUGCCUAGAAGGUAUUCUGCUGCCUACAUGCCUGAAAUCAGGGCUUAGGGCGACCAGGACAAAAGGCAACAAUAUCCAAUGAACUGAAGCAGUGCUUUGAUAACAUUCCUUUUACAACUCAGUUUGUGGUAGGAUUCCUACACUCUGCAAGACUGUGAAUCCCCAGUGAAACAAACCAAAACAAAGCUAGCCACUACAAGGGGCUUUGAGGUCUCUGACACUGGGAGCAUGGAUGGUGGUGCCUGGUUUAGGCACUGACGUUGUAUUGUGAUAUGAUCUGGAGGAAGCUGCUAUGAGCAGGGCCUAGUACAGUGCUCUACAUACAGUAUCAUACAGAUUUGACUGGCAAGGCCACUCUGCAUUGAAUUCUCACCAUGCAGUGUAAAGGGCGCAUAAGCCCCUUCAAGCUAAUUCCAAGUGAAUUUAACUAUGUAUCUAUAUAUAGUUCACAUCUAGCCUACCUCUAAGAAAAUGCUGCUUAUAUUGUGUCCUGCUCGCUGGUCCUAGUCCUUUAGACCUCAAAGUAUGAGAAGCAAGCCUUUGGUGUGGUUCAGAGGACAACCUGAGCAGGCUUCCCUGUCUUUUUUAUGCCCCUGGUCUG
Molecule: small RNA, 1004 nt
Filed under: Pan troglodytes (chimpanzee)
Lineage: Eukaryota; Metazoa; Chordata; Mammalia; Primates; Hominidae
Description: retained intron
Source: RNAcentral